UAAUAAAUGUAUUUCCUUUACAGCUCAACCGAUUUUUACAACUAUGCCCCAGAUCUGAAAGGUUACUGCAAUACAUGAUUGAAUUAAUACCUUAAUGAUCUUGGGAGUAAAUAUUUCAGUUUUUUGUUUUCAGUUAUUCAUUUAACAUCUCCAGACUUAUCAGAAAGUUACAGUCAGGUCCAGCUGUUAAAUCUUCAUACUAGUAUUCAACAACUGACCUAUGUACAUCGAUGAUGAAGUUACAAUCUGGACAAGAUCUGACAGACGCAAUUAAGUGAAUCGACAUUGUGACGGUUGUUUUAUCGAAAUUAUGUUAUUAACGGUAUAUGGUGAUUAAAAUGUAUUUAACAAAUUACAA
Molecule: long non-coding RNA, 358 nt
Organism: Dreissena polymorpha
Lineage: Eukaryota; Metazoa; Mollusca; Bivalvia; Myida; Dreissenidae
Exons: 2
Source: RefSeq, a predicted model, not a curated record